Molecule: ribosomal RNA, 229 nt
Filed under: uncultured bacterium
Lineage: Bacteria
Description: partial 16S ribosomal RNA
Rfam family: Bacterial small subunit ribosomal RNA
Source: RNAcentral
UGCGUAGGCGGAUCAAUAAGUCAGUGGUGAAAUAUCUCGGCUCAACCGGGAAACUGCCAUUGAUACUGUUGAUCUUGAGUUCGGUUGAGGUAGGCGGAAUGUGUAAUGUAGCGGUGAAAUGCUUAGAUAUUACACAGAACACCAAUUGCGUAGGCAGCUUACUAGACCGACACUGACGCUGAGGCACGAAAGCGUGGGGAGCGAACAGGAUUAGAUACCCUGGUAGUCC